This 942-nucleotide long non-coding RNA is filed under the name Homo sapiens (human). RNAcentral's name for it is "novel transcript". Lineage: Eukaryota; Metazoa; Chordata; Mammalia; Primates; Hominidae. The record is from RNAcentral.
UAUUGGUGAGCAUAUGAAACAACAGGAAUACUGUGCUUGUACACUAUACACACAUCUCCAAACCAGUUUGGAGGGUAACUUUGCAGUGCAGAAAGUUGAAGAUGUGCAUGACUCAGUAUAUACUCCCAAGUACAUGAUCUAGAACUGCACUGUUCAAUGCAGUAGCCACUGGCCAUUUGUGGCUAUUAAAUUAAAAUGUAUUAAAAUUAAAUUACAUUCAGUUCUCCAUUUGCAUGAGCCACAUUUCAAGAGCUCAGUAGCUACUCUGUGACUAGUGACUACUCUAUUGGGCAGCACAAUGAACAUUUCUAUAAUUGUAAAAUGUUCUAUUCAACAGAAGUGAUAUAGAAGAAUUCUCAUACACAUGGACAAGAAGAUGUUUAUAACAGCUUUAUUUGUAAUAACAGAAUACUGGAAACCAUUCAAAUGUUAAUACAGUCAUUGAUAAACAAAAUGUGGUAUGUUUAUUUGGAAUACUCGAAUGAAAAUAAAUAAAACUACAUAUACCAACAAGAAUGAGUCUCACAAACAAUGUUUAGAAAAAUUGAGAGGUAACAACGUGCUAGCAGCCCUUGCUUGCUCUCUGUGCCUCUUCAGCCUCAGCCAUGGCCAGAGUGGGUGCCAAGGCCGAGGAGGCACCAAGAGAGACCUAGGGCUUGCAAGGGCUGCCAGCAUGCUGUCACCUCUCACCACCAGAAGGAAGAAACUCUGGACACAUCUGAACAUCUGACAGAACAAACUCUGGACACACCAUCUUUAAGAACUGUAACACCACGAGGGUCCGUGGCUUCAUUCUUGAAGUCAACAAGACCAAGAACCCACCAAUUCCAGACACAAAAUUACGAUGCAGAAUAUACAUGUAUAACAAGGAAUAAAUUUUUUAAACGUUAUAAUUUUGAUAAUUUAUAAAAUUUUAAAAUGGGAAAAACAACCUGUAUGUGG